CCUACGGGAGGCAGCAGUGGGGAAUAUUGGACAAUGGACGAAAGUCUGAUCCAGCAAUGCCGCGUGAGUGAUGAAGGCCUUAGGGUUGUAAAGCUCUUUUACCAGGGAUGAUAAUGACAGUACCUGGAGAAUAAGCUCCGGCUAACUCCGUGCCAGCAGCCGCGGUAAUACGGAGGGAGCUAGCGUUGUUCGGAAUUACUGGGCGUAAAGCGCACGUAGGCGGUUAUUCAAGUCAGAGGUGAAAGCCCGGGGCUCAACCCCGGAACUGCCCUUUGAAACUAGAUAGCUAGAAUCCUGGAGAGGUGAGUGGAAUUCCGAGUGUAGAGGUGAAAUUCGUAGAUAUUCGGAAGAACACCAGUGGCGAAGGCGGCUCACUGGACAGGUAUUGACGCUGAGGUGCGAAAGCGUGGGGAGCAAACGAGGAUUAGAUACCCGUGGUAGUCCACGCCGUAAACGAUGAUAACUAGCUGUCCGGGCACAGUGGUGUCGGUUGGGUCGGCGCGACGACGUACGUACGUAGUUAAGUUACGUCCGUCCGGUCGGGUACGGUACGGUACGUACGAACGUAAACGUUAAACGUAACGUAAGUAGUAGUAGUACGGUCGUAGAGUACGUCGACGACGACGACGACGGAGGGAGGAG
RNAcentral lists this ribosomal RNA (642 nucleotides) under uncultured bacterium. RNAcentral describes it as "bacterial SSU rRNA". The stretch from base 1 to 536 matches the Rfam family "Bacterial small subunit ribosomal RNA", at positions 338 to 873 of the family's 1533-position model. The record is from RNAcentral.